RNAcentral lists this microRNA precursor (55 nucleotides) under Echinococcus granulosus. RNAcentral describes it as "microRNA egr-mir-10285 precursor". Lineage: Eukaryota; Metazoa; Platyhelminthes; Cestoda; Cyclophyllidea; Taeniidae. The record is from miRBase by way of RNAcentral.
AAAUGGACCACAAAGAACGCGCUAAUAGACAGCGCGUCCUUUGUGGUCCAUUUGU